GAAGCCCCAGGCCUGUCCUCUCUGGCUGGGUCUCCGUUUCCCCUGGGGGCUGUGUUGCAGCUGAGCCCAGGAAACGUGUGACGUUGCCGUUGCCGUAGAGAUGGUAACCCGCCCAGGUGCCUCACAGCGGCCCUUCCCCCUUCUUCCUGCCUGUCCUCCCUGCUGACUUCUGAGGCCACGGGGAGGGGACUGGGCAAGGGCAGGAGGCACAUUUGGGGGGCGUCCCGUCCAGCUCCUGACGGAGGCGGCACAGGAGAGCGGUGUGCGAGAAUCUGGCCCUCCGUGUCCUGGCUCUGUGGCCUUCGUUCUUCAGGUGCCUAACAAACAGCGGAAGACUUUCCAGCCCCUUCGCUUUCGGUUUCGUGUGCUCCCUACAACAAGGUUCUGGAAGGUUCCCGAGCGGUGCAGAUGCAGUGCAGGCCGCCCCGAGUGCCGUCCACUGGCGCCUCCUGCUCCUGUGUCCCCCCCGCCCCGCGUGGACGGGAAACCGCUCUCUGCGGGAGAGAAAUGGAAGCGCCGCGGGAGCAGAGCCAGUAGAGGCGCUCGGGGAGGUCACCCGGGAUUCGUCACACUUGGCGCGUGGACCGCCGGAGCGACAACAUUUGAAAACCACUCCGGUCUCACCGACAGAAAGCCAAACUCACCACGAGGCCCUCCCGAGCCCGUGGCCGGACCACGCAAGGUCAUUCCCACGUGGGCGAGGGUGGCCGUGUGACCUUGGGGACCCCAGGUCUGAGUACGACAAGCCGGCUCACGCCCUGCGCCCUCCCCUCUCUGCCCGAGGCCUCCGGCGGACCCUCUGAGGACAGCCUGUGGGUGAGGUCUCAGAGGCCCGGCUGCGUGUGCUGGGCGGACGGCUGGCUCGGCCGACGGGAGGGCUUUCUGCCGGCCUGUCCCUGGCAUCCUGCCAUCCCCUGGCGACCAUAAGUUCACCAAGUCCCUUGGUGGGGACAAGUCCCUUCAGGGGGACAGUUUGGGAUUCCGAGGUACCCCCAAGCACAGGUGAUGUGGGAAGCAAAGGCAGAAGAAAAAUGUGAAUUUCCUCACUGUCUACACCCCACUGACAGUCCUUGAGACAGACAGAGUGACCCUCCUCCAGGGCCCCAGCUGCCUCGAUGACGACGCUUUGCUCAGGGCAAGAGGCAGCCGUAGCUUCACAUUAGCCCCACGUCCGGGGUCCUGUAUGUCUGCUUUACCACCCACACAUUCCUCUGGAAACUUCCUUUAUCUCUGCCGCCCAGAUACAUGCUAGCAAUCCUUUCCAAGCUUAUGGUCCCCGGAUGUGCACCUGAAGGGUCUCAUGACCGAGGUUUUACUGAACAGUAAUAAGUGAUCUUAUCCUAGCGGCAGCUAGCCCCUGGUUUCCAAAUUCCUUAGAGACUUCCGCUGUCUCUAACCCCCUCCCAACCUGAGGGUCCCUAAUCAGUUGGUCGGCACAGCCCAGGGCAGUGCUGCCUGCCCCUGGAUCCUGUGUCCGUGCUUUUGUUAUUAUUUUUUAAUGUUUAUUUAUUUUUGAGAGAGAGACAGAGCACAAGUGGGUUAGGGGCAGGGAGAGAGGGAGACACAGAAUCCGAAGCAGGCUCUGGGCUCCGAGCCGUCGGCACAGGGCCCGACGCGGGGCUCGAACCCACGAACCGGGAGAUCGUGACCCGAGCCGAAGUCGGGCGCUUCACCGACGGAGCCCCCCAGGCGCCCCCAACUGUUUGUGUUUUAAGGGAAGACGUAGCAUCGGACCUUGUGACCUCAGCACCUGCCCUGCAAGGCUGGGUGCCGUCCACAGCGUCUGACACGUCUCUGUCCUCCUUGGAGCCCCAGGUGGGUUACUGGCUUCACCGGCAUCUGUGAACACGGCCCCCUCGGAGGAACCUUCUCUUGCUUUGCGGAGGACAGUCCCGUGAGGCGCGUCCUCCUUCACCUUGACCUACACUGACAUGAAGCGAUCUGAGGCGA
Molecule: long non-coding RNA, 1950 nt
Organism: Neofelis nebulosa (Clouded leopard)
Lineage: Eukaryota; Metazoa; Chordata; Mammalia; Carnivora; Felidae
Exons: 2
Source: RefSeq, a predicted model, not a curated record